AGAGGUAGAAAUCAACCUUCAUUCGUGUUUAAAUAUAUUUACAUCAUGAGCUCAUACCUUCCUCUCAAAUUCCAGUCCAGCACCACAGGCUUCUUUCUCAUCUUCCCCUUCCAUAUUUGUCGCCCCCUUGCUGAAAACCCUGACUCCCAUCAACAUUAAUAUAUGUGUUCAUUUGCCCGGUGCUACGACAACCACAAAAUAGUUUCAACCGUGGCGAACACCAGUAAACCUAUCGAGUAACGUUUAGGCUUUCCUUCCUGUUCUGCUGCCUUUAGAGCAAGGUUUAACACCUUGCUUAGCUGCUCUCUGGCUCUGCCUCCUGCGACAGUGGACGAUGUCCUGAGCUAAAACGCUGGGCGCCGGUCGUGCUGUGGGGGCGCCUCUGCUGCAGGGUUUCCCGAAUGUGGCCGCGUUCUCCUGGCUCUAGCAGAGACGGUUCCACACAGGCCUGGCGUUAAAUCACCGUCAAUCACGCUGUGAGAAAUGCAUUCCUUUUCUGCUUCUCCUUCCACUCUCUGCCGACUUCAAGGAGAAUGUCUCAGAGCCCGACUGCUUGGUUUCGAAUGGUAACCCUGCUUACUUUUCAGCUGUGACCUUUGGCAAGUUACUUAAGAGCUGUGUGCCUCAGUCUCCCCGUCUGCCUACUAGAGCUAUAACGGCACCCCAUCGUAGCAUCGUUGUGGGGAUGAAUGAGUUAAUGUUGGUAAAGUGCCCCCCGGAGUGCCUGGCACGGGGUUGUUCCCACAUCUUGGCUGUCGUGAAUAGUGCUACAGCGAACAUCAAACUAAAAAGCUUCCACCCAGCAAAGGAGACAAUCAACAGAGUGAAAAGGCAACUACAGAGUGGGAGAAGAUAUUUACCAACCAUGUGUCUGAUAAGGGGUAUAUAGCCAAAGUAAUAAGGAACUCCUACAACUCCACAGCAAAAAAUUGAAUAACUCAAUUGAAAAAUGGACUAAGGACUUGAAUUUUUCCAAAGGAGACACACAAAUGGCCAACAGGUACAUGAAAAGAUGCUCAACGUCACUGAUCAUCAGGGAAAUGCAAAUCAAAACCUUAUACCUGUGAGGAUGGUUGUUACCAAAAAAACAAAGACAAGUGUUGGUGAGGAUGUAGAGAAAUUGAAACCCUCGCACACUGUUGAUGGGGAUGCAAAAAGAUGCGGUCGCUAUGGAAGAUAGUAUGGAGGCUCCUCAAGAAGUUAAAAGUUGACUACCAUAUGAUCCAGCCACCCCACUUCUGGGUACUUAUCCGCAAGAGCUGAAACCAAGCUUUCUUUUGCAGUGGGCAGUACUCUCCUUCCCCAGGUGCCCACUGUCCAGAGGUCCCUGCCUUUCUCUUGCACUCCCUGCCUCGGGCCUGGGGCCUUUGCUGGGGUGCUCAGGAGCUUCUGAGGGUGGGAUUAACAGGCACUGAAGCUCGGUCACCUCCACAACUUCUAAAUUGGGUUUCUCACCAACGAUGUGAAGAUUUCAUGGAACAAGGGGCCUCUGCCGCCACCUGCUGGGCACCUGGGGAAAGGGCUCUUACGCCCCAAGGAGCCCUUCCUGCUGUCUGGGCAUUUAUAAAUGCAUGCCAGCAAUAGCAAUAACAAUAGCUGUGAUUUAUUAAAUGAUUGUCAGACAUUGUACCAAGUGCUUUCAAGACACGAUGUCUUAAUCUCCAACAGCCUUGAAAUGUGGCUGCCUUCUCCUCAUGUAUUUAUAUAGAGAGAUGAGGAAGCAUGCUCAGCAAGAGAAAGAAUGGUCAACAUCACACGGCCAGCGACUGGCCAGUGGAUUCGAACCCAGGUCUGUCUGGCCCCAAAGUGGGGCUGAGCAGCGUCCUGGAGAAAGGCAGAGAGGGAGCGAGAGGGUGGGCAGGAGAGGCUGGAGGGCUGUAGAAGGUUCUGGAAACUACUCCUGGUGACCUUCCCGGGAAGGUCCACUCACAGCUACUCCCUCUCUGGAUGCCCAGGGCCUUGCUCUGAGUCCUCCUCAGCACAUCCUUCUGCCCACCUUGGGCGUGCACUCCCUCACCCAGCAUCACAGCUGGGGAAACUGAGGCUCCAGAGGUGGAGAAUCUAGACCAUGGAUUCCAGAGAGUGUGGGGCAGAGGGGAGACUGAUCCCAGGCCCUGAGCCCAGUGCUGGGGGGAUCCAAGUGAACAACGAGAAACAGGGAAGGCGACCUGAGCCCAAGUUUCUGUCCACGUCAACUCCUCACGAUCCGGGGCCCACAGGGCAGGUGGGCAUAGGGGCUGGGAGACCCUCUGUGGGAUAGAUUCCCGGUGCGCACUCUGAAUGAUGGCCUUGCCACCGUCAAGGGCCCCGCCUGUCCGUCAGGAGGCCUCUCCAAGGGAGGGCCUGCCACGAUGUCGGAGCAGCACUCUUUUCUGGCUCUGCCACUUCCCAGCUCUGAGAUCUUGGGCAACUUCCUUCAGCUUUCCGAGCCUCAGUUUACCCUUCUGUAAAAUGGGACUAAUCGCAGUCUCUACCUCUUCGAGCUGGAUUGGGAACCAAGUGACAACCCAUACCUAAAGCCCUGAGUGCUCAGGAAGCACUUGAUAAAUGGCAUCACUAGGGACCCCCACAGACACACACUAGCCAGGCCUCAAUGCCUCUGCCAGGCUGAGAAGCAGGCGUUGUGGGAUGCCUCUGCAGGGGAAACUGAGUCACUAGGUCAGGAAGUGCCUGGGCCUAGGCUUCAGCUUGAGUCACAGGCCUAAUGCUGGGAAACCUCCCUGCAGCCACCUCCAGAAAUGCUUCGUGCCUCUGUCUGGCAGCCUCAGAGCCUCCACCCCGUGUCACCAGCCAGGGGACCUUCCCCCAAGGAGCCCCCCGCAGCCAGGCAGGCUCAGCCCUGCAAGAUGUAUCCGAUGGACGAAGGACGCUGAGAUGCACAUAUAUCCCUGCUCGACAGGCGAGGGAACUGAGGCUAGGAGGGGCAGGUGAUGCGCCCGCCGGCACAGCGGUGUGGGGGUAGGACCCUGACUCGACCCCAGGGCGUUCAUCAGAGGAAGCUCGGUGGCUGGGCUCCCUCAGGGCUGAUUUACAACCCCAGCUCAGGCCUGGGAUCAAAGUUGGUUUGCAGGAAGCCCUUCCCAUCCCGACUUCCCCGGGACCGGGACACGCUUUGACGUCAGCACGUCCACAUUCCUGCCCUCGGGCCCCAGGGUGGGGGCACCGACUUCCUCCCUCCAGCGUUGGCGUCGCAAACAGGAAGCUGGGUCACGAGGGCGGUCCCGCCAGGGCGCCCGGAGGAGGGGGUGGGAGGCCAGGCCAGGCGGCGGUCCCAGCGCUGGACCACCUGGCGCAGGGCACGGGGACGGCCGGGUCGUGUUAUAAGGCGCCCCUGUGCUCCGGGGCCCGUACAGAGGGCCUUCAAGGCUUCAUCCCUUUGGUCUUCACAAACGACACGCUCACGGAUCACGAUUUCUCUCUCGGACUGACAGCAAUGCCUACCGUGGGCCGAGCGCUCCCUCCAGGCGUGCGCUUCACACGGGUCCUCUCAUUUAAUCCUUAUAAACACCCCUCUUAUCGUCUGUUAACAGAUGAGGAAACUGAGGCACUGCAGGCUAAGUCAGUCUCCAAUGUCCCGCGGCUGUGGGGAGUGGGUGGGGACUCGGACCCAGCGUCUGCCGGGAGCCCCGUCCCCGCCCUCUCGGCCCUUGCUCCGCGUGCUGGAAACUGCAAAUCCGACCACGUCUCUCCCUCCUCACCCUUCCAUGGCUCCCCUCUACCCGGGGACGGCGGUCAGCCUUUCUCACAGGGAUCUGAAGGGACCCGCGCUGCCCUGCGGACGGAAGGACAUUACCCCCGAUGGCAUCGCUGAUGCUACAAAACCAACAGCCUUGUCUGGGUCAAUCAAGGUUGACCUCGAGAUUAGGACUCUUUGGGUCUGUUA
Molecule: long non-coding RNA, 3883 nt
Filed under: Equus caballus (horse)
Lineage: Eukaryota; Metazoa; Chordata; Mammalia; Perissodactyla; Equidae
Description: lncRNA (ENSECAG00000042977.2)
Source: RNAcentral